This 483-nucleotide ribosomal RNA is filed under the name uncultured bacterium. RNAcentral's name for it is "partial 16S ribosomal RNA". It matches the Rfam family "Bacterial small subunit ribosomal RNA", at positions 30 to 507 of the family's 1533-position model. The record is from RNAcentral.
AUUGAACGCUGGCGGCAGGCCUAACACAUGCAAGUCGAGCGGAUGAAGGGAGCUUGCUCCUGGAUUCAGCGGCGGACGGGUGAGUAAUGCCUAGGAAUCUGCCUGGUAGUGGGGGAUAACGUCCGGAAACGGGCGCUAAUACCGCAUACGUCCUGAGGGAGAAAGUGGGGGAUCUUCGGACCUCACGCUAUAGAUGAGCCUAGGUCGGAUUAGCUAGUUGGUGGGGUAAAGGCCUACCAAGGCGACGAUCCGUAACUGGUCUGAGAGGAUGAUCAGUCACACUGGAACUGAGACACGGACCAGACUCCUACGGGAGGCAGCAGUGGGGAAUAUUGGACAAUGGGCGAAAGCCUGAUCCAGCCAUGCUGCGUGUGUGAAGAAGGUCUUCGGAUUGUAAAGCACUUUAAGUUGGGAGGAAGGGCAGUAAGUUAAUACCUUGCUGUUUUGACGUUACCAACAGAAUAAGCACCGGCUAACUUCGUG